This is a non-coding RNA of Rattus rattus (black rat), 73 nucleotides long. The record is from the annotation of a RefSeq genome assembly. Lineage: Eukaryota; Metazoa; Chordata; Mammalia; Rodentia; Muridae.
GCGUCCGUAGCUCAACGGAUAGAGCAUUUGACUUCGGAUCAAAAGGUUGUAGGUUCGAAUCCUACCGGACGCG